AUGUGCCUGAGAUGGGAUCUGGAGAACGAAAGCUUUGGAGCGUCGGGGCACGACUGGGGCCGAAGCCUUUUGGAGCUUCCAUGGCUAGGGAGUAGGGACAACGUCCAAAUGUCCCAUGCGCCGUGCCUGUGGCUGUGGUUGGAAGCAUACACACACAGAUGUACGGCAAUCAGGUCUCCAUCAGGAUGUCGCCAGAUAAUGUUCCCUUCCAGUUCACCUGCUGUUCCUCGGCACUUCAGAUGUCAGCGGUGUUCGUCGGCACUCCGGAUUCUCUCUCUGGAUGAUUUGUUUGGUAUUUCAUGGGAUUUGGUGAAUCCCUUCUUUUCACCAACCCCUUCAAUUCCCGUCACAUCUUAA
This 357-nucleotide ribosomal RNA is filed under the name Triticum aestivum (bread wheat). RNAcentral describes it as "partial small subunit ribosomal RNA". Lineage: Eukaryota; Viridiplantae; Streptophyta; Magnoliopsida; Poales; Poaceae. The record is from RNAcentral.